Myotis daubentonii (Daubenton's bat) is the source of this 103-nucleotide small nuclear RNA. The record is from RefSeq and is a predicted model, not a curated record. NCBI's taxonomy places the organism in Eukaryota, Metazoa, Chordata, Mammalia, Chiroptera, Vespertilionidae.
GACCUUCAGCAGCACAUAUACUAAAAUUGGAAUGACAGAGAGGAGAUUAAUGUGGCCCCUGCACAAGGAUGACAUGCAAAUUCAUGAAGUGUUUUAUAUUUAA